UACGGAGGAUGCGAGCGUUAUCCGGAUUUAUUGGGUUUAAAGGGUGCGCAGGCGGCGUGUCAAGUCAGCGGUAAAAUGUCGGGGCUCAACCCCGGCCGGCCGUUGAAACUGGCGUGCUCGAGUAGGAGAGAAGUAUGCGGAAUUCGUGGUGUAGCGGUGAAAUGCAUAGAUAUCACGAAGAACCCCGAUUGCGAAGGCAGCAUACCGGCUCCACACUGACGCUGAGGCACGAAAGCGUGGGUAUCGAACAGG
Molecule: ribosomal RNA, 252 nt
Filed under: uncultured bacterium
Lineage: Bacteria
Description: partial 16S ribosomal RNA
Rfam family: Bacterial small subunit ribosomal RNA
Source: RNAcentral